RNAcentral lists this small RNA (106 nucleotides) under Paraphysomonas imperforata. RNAcentral's name for it is "partial Betaproteobacteria transfer-messenger RNA". The record is from RNAcentral. Lineage: Eukaryota; Chrysophyceae; Chromulinales; Paraphysomonadaceae.
CCCCGAUGUGAGGGCUACUUCUGCGAAGGCUCUGGGUGGAUUGAUGUUGGGGAUGGGCGAGGCUGAAAUGCCUGAUUUAGUUCCGUGGUGCUUGUCCUCUCUUUCC